GUGAAUCAUCAAAUCUUUGAACGCAAAUUGCACUCUCUUCGGAGAGUAUGCCUGUUUGAGGGUCAGCCUAAAAAAAAAAUCGACAUAGUCGCUGUUUCCCCGUUACAUUCAUCGGAAAUUGGGUCUUUUUUAACCUUUUGAGCUUAAGCGGCUUAAACUUUUUUUUACCUUUCUGCAAUCGUUUCUAAGCUUU
RNAcentral lists this unclassified non-coding RNA (193 nucleotides) under Glomus sp. RNAcentral describes it as "partial contains 5.8S ribosomal RNA and internal transcribed spacer 2". The stretch from base 1 to 65 matches the Rfam family "5.8S ribosomal RNA", at positions 84 to 154 of the family's 154-position model. Lineage: Eukaryota; Fungi; Glomeromycota; Glomeromycetes; Glomerales; Glomeraceae. The record is from RNAcentral.